Molecule: ribosomal RNA, 449 nt
Filed under: uncultured bacterium
Lineage: Bacteria
Description: partial 16S ribosomal RNA
Rfam family: Bacterial small subunit ribosomal RNA
Source: RNAcentral
AACGAACGCUGGCGCCAUGCCUAACACAUGCAAGUCGAACGAGAUCUUCGGGUCUAGUGGCGCACGGGUGCGUAACGCGUGGGAAUCUGCCCUUUGGUUCGGAAUAACAGUUGGAAACGACUGCUAAUACCGGAUGAUGACGAAAGUCCAAAGAUUUAUCGCCAGAGGAUGAGCCCGAGUAGGAUUAGCUAGUUGGUGUGGUAAAGGCGCACCAAGGCGACGAUCCUUAGCUGGUCCUAGAAGAUGAUCAGCCACACUGGGACCGAGACACGGCCCAGACUCGUACGGGAGGCAGCAUUGGAGAAGAUUGGACAAUGGGCGAAAGCCUGAUCAAGCAAUGCCGCGUGAGUGAUGAAGGCCUUAGGGUUGUAAAGCUCUUUUACCGGUGAUGAUAAUGACAGUACCGGGAGAAUAAGCUCCGGCUAACUCCGUGCAAGCCGCCGCGGUAA